RNAcentral lists this ribosomal RNA (834 nucleotides) under Triticum aestivum (bread wheat). RNAcentral's name for it is "partial small subunit ribosomal RNA". Lineage: Eukaryota; Viridiplantae; Streptophyta; Magnoliopsida; Poales; Poaceae. The record is from RNAcentral.
AUGGCGGAUCCAACACGUCAGAUAACAGGGGGGCAGGGGGAAGAGGCGGAGGCGGAAGUAGGGUUAGGGCUUGAGGGGGCGGCCGGAUCUGGAGAUCAUGAUGGGGUCAGGGAAGAUGGAAGCCAAAACAACUCGAUGGCGGAUGGGGGGAGUCACAGCUCGCAGGCAAGGAGGAGUGCAUUUGGCGGAGGGGAGGAUGAGCAUGGUUCGUACUUUGGGUCGGGGCCUGAUCUUGAGGAUCAGUUCGUCGGGAUGAAGUUGCAUGGGAAGGAAGAGGAGGAUCUGGAUUUCUCAGAGGAGGUGGAAGAUUUGAUCAAAGAUGUUCGCUGGUUAGCCUUGUUCCGGGUUCAUACGACCAAGCCGUUCAGUCAUGCGGCGCUCUUGACGCAGAUGCGUAAUGCGUGGUCGGCGGCGCAGGGCGUGACUUUCAAUAUCAAGGGGCCCAAUUUGUUCCUUGUUCAGUGCCACUGCUUGGGAGAUUGGAGGAAGAUCAUGGAGGGAGGGGCGUGGCUGUUCCGUCGGGCGCCUGUGGUGAUCCAGGAGUAUGAAGGAUUUUCAUAUGUCAAGGGCUAUAAACUAAACAAGGAACACAAAAAGUUCAGCGUGUACUACGAAAAGCUUCCAGAUUUCUACUUUGCCUGUGGCCGAAUGGGUCACUUGGCUGAUGAGUGCGGCGAUGGUGUACAUGAUCCUGAGUCGUUCGAGUGGGGUGAGUGGCUGUUGUGGGAGCCGGAGAUGCCAGCGGUUCAACCAUACGGAGGGUGCAGGAAGAGGAGACAAUGGGAGAGGCCGCGGAGGCGAUGGUGGAAGAGGAGCAAGGGGACGAGGUUGUAG